GAGGUUCGAAGGCGAUCAGAUACCGCCCUAGUUCUAACCAUAAACGAUGCCAGCCAGCGAUCCGGCUGUGUUCCUCAAAUGACACGCCGGGCAGCUUCCGGGAAACCAAAGCUUUUGGGUUCCGGGGGAAGUAUGGUUGCAAAGCUUAAACUUAAAGGAAUUGACGGAAGGGCACCACAAGCCAUGGAGCAUGCGGUUCAAUUUGACUCAACACGGGAAAACUUACCUGGCCCGGACACAGGAAGGAUUGACAGAUUAAGAGCUCUUUCUUGAUUCUGUGAGUGGUGGUGCAUGGCCGUUCUUAGUUGGUGGAGUGAUUUGUCUGCUUAAUUGCGUUAACGAACGAGACUCUAGCCUACUAAAUAGACGUUCCGAUCCUCUUAGUCGGACGCUCUUCUUAGGGGGACAGGCGGCGACUAGCCGCACGAGACAGAGCAAUAACAGGUCUGUGAUGCCCUCAGAUGUCCGGGGCCACACGCGCGCUACAUUGAAGGAAUCAGCGUGUGCUUUCCCUGUCCGACAGGACUGGGUAACCCGUUGAACCUCCUUCGUGCUGGGGAUAGGGGCUUGCAAUUGUUCCCCUUGAACGAGGAAUGCCUAGUAAGCACGAGUCAUAAAUUCGUGUUGAUUAGGUCCCUGCCCUUUGUACACACCGCCCGUCGCUAUAAGCGAUUGAAUGGUUUAGUGAGGUCUUCGGACUGGCGCUCGAAUUGGCCUUCCGGUCGAGUCGACGUGCCGGAAAGAUGACCAAACUUGAUCAUUUAGAGCAUAUAAAAGUCGU
RNAcentral lists this ribosomal RNA (781 nucleotides) under Kryptonesticus dimensis. RNAcentral describes it as "SSU rRNA". It matches the Rfam family "Eukaryotic small subunit ribosomal RNA", at positions 993 to 1792 of the family's 1831-position model. The record is from RNAcentral. Lineage: Eukaryota; Metazoa; Arthropoda; Arachnida; Araneae; Nesticidae.